This 460-nucleotide ribosomal RNA is filed under the name uncultured bacterium. Its description in RNAcentral is "partial 16S ribosomal RNA". It matches the Rfam family "Bacterial small subunit ribosomal RNA", at positions 338 to 795 of the family's 1533-position model. The record is from RNAcentral.
CCUACGGGAGGCAGCAGUGAGGAAUAUUGGUCAAUGGGCGGGAGCCUGAACCAGCCAAGUCGCGUGAGGGAAGACGGUCCUAUGGAUUGUAAACCUCUUUAGGCGGGGAGCAAUGCCGGGCACGCGUGCCCGGAGGGAGAGUACCCGCAGAAUAAGCAUCGGCUAACUCCGUGCCAGCAGCCGCGGUAAUACGGAGGAUGCGAGCGUUAUCCGGAUUUAUUGGGUUUAAAGGGUGCGUAGGCGGAUUUUUAAGUCAGCGGGAAAAUGGCCGGGCUCAACCCGGGCCGGCCGUUGAAACUGGGGAUCUUGAGUGGGCGAGAAGUAUGCGGAAUGCGUGGUGUAGCGGUGAAAUGCAUAGAUCUCACGCAGAACUCCGAUUGCGAAGGCAGCAUACCGGCGCCCGACUGACGCUGAGGCACGAAAGCGUGGGGAUCGAACAGGAUUAGAUACCCCAGUAGUC